RNAcentral lists this ribosomal RNA (298 nucleotides) under Ctenobrycon magdalenae. Its description in RNAcentral is "Astyanax magdalenae partial small subunit ribosomal RNA". It matches the Rfam family "Bacterial small subunit ribosomal RNA", at positions 1050 to 1496 of the family's 1533-position model. The record is from RNAcentral. Lineage: Eukaryota; Metazoa; Chordata; Actinopteri; Characiformes; Acestrorhamphidae.
CGUCGCAAGCUUACCCUGUGAAGGUGAAGUAGUAAGCAAAAUGGGUACAUCCCAGAACGUCAGGUCGAGGUGUAGCUUACGGGGUGGGAAGAAAUGGGCUACAUUUUCUACUCCAGAAUAUACGAACGGCAUUAUGAAAUUAAUACCCGAAGGUGGAUUUAGUAGUAAAAAUCAAAUAGAGAGUCAUUUUGAAUUAGGCUCUGAGACGCGCACACACCGCCCGUCGCCCUCCCCAACAAACCUAAACUUAGUAAUUAACCAAAAAUUAACACAAACGGGGAGGUAAGUCGUAACAUGG